GAUGAACGCUGGCGGCGUGCCUAACACAUGCAAGUCGAACGAAGCUUGACGGAUGAUUUCUUCGGAAUGAAACCAGAUAUGACUUAGUGGCGGACGGGUGAGUAACACGUGAGCAACCUGCCUUUCAGAGGGGGAUAACGGCUGGAAACGGUCGCUAAUACCGCAUGAUGUGUUCGGAUGGCAUCAUCUGAACAUCAAAGAUUUAUCGCUGAAAGAUGGGCUCGCGUCUGAUUAGAUAGUUGGUGGGGUAACGGCCUACCAAGUCUACGAUCAGUAGCCGGACUGAGAGGUUGAACGGCCACAUUGGGACUGAGAUACGGCCCAGACUCCUACGGGAGGCAGCAGUGGGGAAUAUUGCACAAUGGGGGAACCCUGAUGCAGCAACGCCGCGUGAAGGAUGACGGUUUUCGGAUUGUAAACUUCUUUUCUUAGUGACGAAGACAGUGACGGUAGCUAAGGAAUAAGCAUCGGCUAACUACGUG
RNAcentral lists this ribosomal RNA (482 nucleotides) under uncultured bacterium. RNAcentral describes it as "partial 16S ribosomal RNA". It matches the Rfam family "Bacterial small subunit ribosomal RNA", at positions 28 to 507 of the family's 1533-position model. The record is from RNAcentral.